UACGUAGGGUGCAAGCGUUGUCCGGAAUUAUUGGGCGUAAAGAGCUCGUAGGCGGUCUGUCGCGUCGGCUGUGAAAACCCGAGGCUCAACCUCGGGCCUGCAGUCGAUACGGGCAAACUAGAGUACUGCAGGGGAGACUGGAAUUCCUGGUGUAGCGGUGAAAUGCGCAGAUAUCAGGAGGAACACCGGUGGCGAAGGCGGGUCUCUGGGCCUGUACUGACGCUGAGGAGCGAAAGCGUGGGGAGCGAACAGG
Molecule: ribosomal RNA, 253 nt
Filed under: uncultured bacterium
Lineage: Bacteria
Description: partial 16S ribosomal RNA
Rfam family: Bacterial small subunit ribosomal RNA
Source: RNAcentral